AACUAUACUGUUGAAACUUGGUAACUAGAUGUAUUCUGUGAACCGCAUUAAGAUUUUCACACAAAAAUAGAAAAAAAAAAAACAAUAAACUUUGGGGGGAUAGGUCUUUAAAAAUGAUAUUGAGGUUUCUAAUAUCAUUUUUUUCUAAAGUGAAUAGUUUGCGCGAGAAACACUUCCAAAGUGGUAAAAUGUGUCCCACCCCCCUGUAACUUCUAAAAUAAGAGAAAAAAAUAU
This is a long non-coding RNA of Cydia strobilella, 234 nucleotides long. RefSeq lists it as uncharacterized. Lineage: Eukaryota; Metazoa; Arthropoda; Insecta; Lepidoptera; Tortricidae. The record is from RefSeq and is a predicted model, not a curated record. The transcript is spliced from 2 exons.